GACGAACGCUGGCGGCAUGCCUAAUACAGGCAAGUCGAGCGAACAGAUGAAGUGCUUGCACUUCUGACGUUAGCGGCGAACGGGUGAGUAACACGUAAGGAAUCUACCUAUAAGCGGGGGAUAACAUUCGGAAACGGGUGCUAAUACCGCAUAAUAUCUUCUUCCGCAUGGAAGAAGAUUGAAAGACGGCUCUGCUGUCACUUAUAGAUGACCUUGCGGUGCAUCAGUUAGUUGGUGGGGUAAAGGCCUACCAAGACGAUGAUGCAUAGCCGAGCUGGGAGGGUAAGCGGCGCCAUUGGGGCUGAGCCACGGCCCAAACUCCUACGGGAGGCAGCAGUAGGGAAUCUUCCGCAAUGGGCGAGAGCCUGACGGAGCAAUGCCGCGUGGGUGAAGAAGGCCUUCGGGUCGUAAAACUCUGUUAUAAGAGAAGAACAAAUUGUAGAGUAACUGCUACAGUCUUGACGGUAUCUUAUCAGAAAGCCACGGCUAACUACGUGCCAGCCGCCGCCGUAA
RNAcentral lists this ribosomal RNA (513 nucleotides) under uncultured bacterium. RNAcentral's name for it is "partial 16S ribosomal RNA". It matches the Rfam family "Bacterial small subunit ribosomal RNA", at positions 28 to 523 of the family's 1533-position model. The record is from RNAcentral.